RNAcentral lists this ribosomal RNA (819 nucleotides) under Nitzschia varelae. RNAcentral describes it as "eukaryotic LSU rRNA". It matches the Rfam family "Eukaryotic large subunit ribosomal RNA", at positions 26 to 914 of the family's 3401-position model. Lineage: Eukaryota; Bacillariophyta; Bacillariophyceae; Bacillariales; Bacillariaceae. The record is from RNAcentral.
CGCUGAAUUUAAGCAUAUAAUUAAGCGGAGGAAAAGAAACUAACCAGGAUUCCCUCAGUAAGGGCGACUGAAGCGGGAAGUGCUCAAGAUGUGAAUCUGCGCCUACUUUGUAAGCGCCGAAUUGUGGUCUGUAGACGGUGGCAUUACCAGCCGGGCCAAGUCCUUUGGAACAGGGCAGCUAAGAGGGUGAGACUCCCGUCCGCCUGGCAGGGUGAGCUACUAGUCAACGAGUCGAGUUGUUUGGGAUUGCAGCUCUAAGUGGGUGGUAAAUUCCAUCUAAAGCUAAAUAUUGGUGGGAGACCGAUAGCGUACAAGUACCGUGAGGGAAAGAUGCAAAGAACUUUGAAAAGAGAGUUAAAGAGUACCUGAAAUUGCUGAAAGGGAAGCGAAGGAAACCAGUGUCUGGCUUGGUCAUAUUUCCCUGUCCGCUUGCGGUUUGGGCGCUGUGUCCAGUCUGGGUUGUCCUUGGUUGGUGCCUGUGGAAGAGCGCAGUGAGAGUUGAUCUCUGUUGCUAGCAUUGGCUCCGACUGAGGAGGACGAAAUGGUUUUCUUUACCCCGUCUUGAAACACGGACCAAGGAGUCUAACAUAUGUGCGAGUACAGGGGUGGCAAACCCCCGUGCGCAAUGAAAGUGACAGUGGUUGGACAGCAAUGGCACAAUCCGCCGGCCUCAAUCCCUCGGGAGAACGGUCUGAGUGUGAGCAUACAUGUUGGGACCCGAAACGAUGGUGAAUCUAUGCCUGAAUAGGGUGAAGCCAGGGGAAACUCUGGUGGAGGCUCGUAGCGAUUCUGACGUGCAAAUNCGAUCGUCAAAUUUGG